CUGAAGUGGCUCCAACUGUCUCCAUCAUCAGACACACCCCCUGGCCCUGGCCACUGGGAGGUGCCCCAGAGACAGCAGGUGGGGCUUCUGCUCUCUAAAUACAGGAGGCCCUUUCAGCUUCUGCUCUAAGCUCCUUUUAAACCACCACUGGAGAUUGGAAAAAUCAAAACUUCACAGCAGUGAUAAGAGCACUGAAAAGAAGCAGAUUUCCUGAGUCUUGAAAGGAAGGGGAAUUGGAAGAUAAUAUUUUUCUCACUGCUGUGCCUGUGUUUUCUUAGGCCCAGCUAAAUCCAAGGCGGUCUCUCCCAGGCCUAGGCUCUCCGGAGGACUGCGCGCAGGCAGCUGCCGAGGGAACAAGGGAACUUGCUGCCCAAAAUGUGUAGCUGCGAGUCCAAGAAAAGGACACAAAAUCCUCAGGAAGAAGCUCACAUGGCGACACGAAGGGCAUUGGUGAGGAAACCAGCGAGGAGUCUGCAUGAGCCUGAGAUGUUGCUAAGCUCUCUGAUAUCUGCGGUGAGAGUGUCUACGCGAAGAUUACCCAUGCUGGGCUCCAGCGUUUCAACCCUAACCCCACAAUGAGCGCCUGGUCACUCUGUGGUCUAAACUCUGAGAGAAGAGAGCAUUCCAUACUAUACUACAUUUCGUACACAAUUAUUUGAUACAUGGAAGAAACCAUAAAUAUUAUUUAUCUUACCAUGGGCCUCAGAAUGUCCAAACACCACAGCUAAUUAGGGUUCAAUAAUAGAUUCAAUAAGCUGAAGCCUGUUUUUCUGGUUUAUCAAAACAAGUAAAGCAAUGGCCAUUACAUUCUAAUUUGUAAGCAUUUUGUUUGAUGGCUUUGAGUAGAAAGUACUUAGCUUUGCCUGUCCUAUAGGAGGUCCAGCCACCAUCUAAAGUCAGCACUAAACUAUAUCUGUUGCCAUUUACGAUACUUUUUUCCAUUUGUGGAAACAAGUUAUUUGUUAUAACCAAACAUAUAUUCAAAUACAGACGGAGCUUUUGCUAAAAGAUUAGAAAGUCAAUAUUUCCUAAUUGGCAAGGAGAAGGAUUUGGUCAAAGCCAAUGAGAAUUUCUUCUAUGAUCAGUCUUUCCCCAGGAGCUGGCUCCUGUGAAGAUUAUAACUCACCUGCUGCAGAUGCGAGUAAAGUUGACACUGUGAAGCAAAGCAUACUAGUAUAUUUCACCAUCUCAGGGUACCCCAGUUGAAAAGUUUUAAUCAAGACUCCCUAAACCAUGAUUUCUCAACUUCAGCACUAUUGACUUUGAGGGUAGAUAAUUCUUUGUUGUAGGGGCUGUCCUAUGCAUUGUCAAUGUUUAGCAGCAUUCCUGGCUGACACCCACUAGAUGCUGGUAACAUCCUCCUCACCAGUCAUGACAACAAAAAAUGCAUCCAGACAUUGCCAAUGUCCCCUGGGGAAGAAAAAUCACCCCCAGUGAUGCUCCUCCACUCCUUGUGCAUGAUAUACAUUAAUAUUUCCAUGGAGGUGACUUGCCAAGGUUCAUAACCUUGUCCUUAAGCAAGAAUUUGCAUGUGUGUGUACCUUUAUUUUUUUAAUGAAUUGAACAUUUAUUUAAAAUCAUAUUGUGCUAUUUAUAGUAUUCUUGUCUUGCAUGUUUUACUUAAUCACAUAUCCUCCAGAACUGUGAGAAUUUUGUUUCUGCUAUUAAGCUACCUAGUCUAUGGUAUUUUGUUAUAGAAGUUCAUAUUAACUAAAUACUAACUAAAUCAAUCUCUCUCUUUCUUCAUAAAUUUAUUUUUAAACUAUCUUUAAAAGAAUAUACUGUGAGCAUGAUUUCCAUUCUUAACAUAUUAAACAUUCAUUUUUCACUUUAUAAUGAUAGCAAAACAAAAUUAUCUGAUGUCAUGUUUUUUAAAACUAUAUAAUAAAAUUUUUAUUAUUUAAAAAAUUUAUAUAUACAUAUAUAAGUAAUAUGUAAAAUGAUAUAGCCACUCUGAAAAACAGUUUGGCAAUUUAUUACAAAACUAAGCACGCAAUUACCAUUUGACCCAGAAGUGAUUGUACUAUACCUGGUCACUUAUCCCAGAGAGAUAAACGUAUGCUCCCACAAAAAUCUGUACAUGAAAGUUCACAGCAGCUUCACUGGUGAUAGCCAAAAAAUGAAAACAACCUAGAUAUCCUUCAGUGAGUGAAUGUUUAGAAAGAAAAGAAAGUGGUAUAUUUACUUAUUUUCAUAGUAUAAAAGAUUGUAUUAUGAAAGUUAAUAUUAAAAUAUAUAAAUCCUUG
Molecule: long non-coding RNA, 2246 nt
Filed under: Homo sapiens (human)
Lineage: Eukaryota; Metazoa; Chordata; Mammalia; Primates; Hominidae
Description: HSALNT0201793
Source: RNAcentral